Molecule: ribosomal RNA, 438 nt
Filed under: uncultured bacterium
Lineage: Bacteria
Description: partial 16S ribosomal RNA
Rfam family: Bacterial small subunit ribosomal RNA
Source: RNAcentral
AACGAACGCUGGCGGCAUGCCUAACACAUGCAAGUCGAACGAGACCUUCGGGUCUAGUGGCGCACGGGUGCGUAACGCGUGGGAAUCUGCCCUUGGGUUCGGAAUAACAGUGAGAAAUUACUGCUAAUACCGGAUGAUGUCUUCGGACCAAAGAUUUAUCGCCCAGGGAUGAGCCCGCGUAGGAUUAGCUAGUUGGUGGGGUAAUGGCCUACGAAGGCGACGAUCGUUAGCUGGUCUGAGAGGAUGAGCGGCAACACUGGGACUGAGACACGGCCCAGACCCCGACGCGAAGGGGCAGAGGGAGUGGGGAAAAAUGGAGAGGGGGCCGGAGCCAGAAACGGCACUGCCGGGAGGAUGAUGAAGGGGUUGGGAAUGGAAAGCUCUUGUGCCCGGGCGGAAAAGAAGGUAACGGGGAAAGAAGCACCGGGUAACUACGUG